AUUAAACGCUGGCGGCAUGCCUUACACAUGCAAGUCGAACGGCAGCACGGGGCAACCUGGUGGCGAGUGGCGAACGGGUGAGUAAAGCAUCGGAACGUGCCCUGGAGUGGGGGAUAACGUAGCGAAAGUUACGCUAAUACCGCAUAUUCUGUGAGCAGGAAAGCAGGGGAUCGCAAGACCUUGCGCUCUGGGAGCGGCCGAUGUCGGAUUAGCUAGUUGGUGGGUAAAGGCCUACCAAGGCGACGAUCCGUAGCGGGUCUGAGAGGAUGAUCCGCCACACUGGGACUGAGACACGGCCCAGACUCCUACGGGAGGCAGCAGUGGGGAAUUUUGGACAAUGGGCGAAGCCUGAUCCAGCCAUGCCGCGUGAGUGAAGAAGG
This 380-nucleotide ribosomal RNA is filed under the name uncultured bacterium. RNAcentral describes it as "bacterial SSU rRNA". It matches the Rfam family "Bacterial small subunit ribosomal RNA", at positions 29 to 414 of the family's 1533-position model. The record is from RNAcentral.